Molecule: long non-coding RNA, 6932 nt
Organism: Hemicordylus capensis (graceful crag lizard)
Lineage: Eukaryota; Metazoa; Chordata; Lepidosauria; Squamata; Cordylidae
Exons: 3
Source: RefSeq, a predicted model, not a curated record
UUGGGUGGGAACUGAGAAAGUCUCAACUACAAUUCUGCUGCUUCACUGAAUUCUCAUCCUAAAGAACCCUUAAUGACUUGCCUUAUUUCUCUUUUACAGAUUUUUUUUUUAAAAAACCACCAGCUGAUUUAUCUCUUGCUACUAUCUGCUCCUGUCAGCAUGCAUCUUCGUCCCCACCUGAGAACAAUUGGAGAAUGAUCUAAGAAUGAUUUAAUUGCCAAAAGUGAGAGAUAUAAAUCAUGAUGUGCAUAGAUCACCAAGCAAUGACCUUGAAUUUAGAAAUCCGGGGACUCAACUUAGCUCUCUAUUUUUGGUGGAAAACCUAUACAGCUUUAGUAAAAGAGACUCUAUGGAAAACAUGAUAGACGGGUCUCUAUCACCAGAAGGUGGACUAUAUGUCCACAAGAAGCCUUCAACGUUCCUGCUCCAGCUCUGCACAAAGAAGCCUUCAGCACAGGAAUGUGACAGAGGUCUGCACAUCAUGCCAGCCACCACCAUGUAGCGUGAGGUCACAAGUAGCACAUUCCAAAGUUCAGGAGUGGCUACAGAGAAGGCCCGACCAUGAAUUACCACCAGAGAAGCCAGUGGCAACUGCAGGCUGACCAGCAGUGAGGAAUCUUGGUAAGAUCAUCCUCCCCCCCUGUUUGGGCUAUAUCACUAGGGCAUAAUGCAUGGUUCUCCUUAACUCUUGUGUGAACAUAUGGAUAUGAUACUGUAUGAUCAGUGUGGUCUGUGCAUGAAUGCCGUGUGGCUUAGGAUAAGGGCAUGCAGGAACUCUUCUUCCCUAAAAAUCAUGUUGGCAUGCCCUAAGCUAAUGGGUGCAGUGUGCAUGUGUGCAAAGUAUAUCCCAACAUGGAAAAAUUACAAACGUCACAAGAAAGGAGUAUAAGAUAUAAGCCCACUCCCCACAAUUAUUUCUGACCCACACUGAAUGCACCUGUGGCUAUGUAGAAAAUAAUUAAUAAUUCCAUUUCAGCAUGGAAAUCUUUUUUUCAGAACCCCCAGUAGAUCCAUGGUGAAAGUAUUAUUCAUUUAAUAAAAUAGGAGAUGGAGUGUUUUCCUAAGUACAGGCAUGAACCAAAGCCCUUUGAAGUCAAUGGAAAAACUGUACUGACUUCAACAAACUCCUUUAGGAUUUCAACACAUUUUAAACCCUGCUGAUGCAAUGCACCUAUGCUUUUUGACUCAGCACUUUUAAUCAGUUACAUCUUUGGAUGUAAUCCAUGGUUCCCUGAAACAUUAUUGUAAGACCAGACAUUCUAAGUGCUGCUUCUGUUGCAAAGUUAAUUCCAGUUCUUAUUCCUAUACUUUUCCCCCAGCUUAUUUAAUAUGGAUGGGUGUCUUCACUGAAAGUCAACUACUACUUUUACAAUAGCUGAGAACCUUUCUUUAAUAAAAGUAGCAUGAAUUAUAUUUGAUUAUAGAGCUGCAACUUAAUUAUCAGACUUAUUUUAAAGUUUAUCAAGUAAAGCUUCUUUAUAACUUUAGAUUUCUCCUCAGAUUAUAUUGUGUCUGCUCAGAGAUUCUUUUUGAGCCUUCUGUAUUAAUCAUAGUUGCCCGAUUCCCUGUUAAAUCUUUCAGAGUUGAAUCAAUUGAAGCUAUCAUCUUCUCCACUGAAAUGGAUUUCAGUGCUAAUGAAAAUUUUCAUCCUCAUUCUAAGGGCCUGAAAUUCUUUUUUCACUUAUUCUUUAUAGCUCAUGUUACAACUCAUUUUUAUAAUUCUAAUAUGAUUAAUUACAGCCCCAUUCUCAUCCUUUUUUUUUUUGAUUGCUCUCAGGUUUUUUUCAAAAAAAAAAUUGCUUCUGACGUCAUUUUCAUUGGCCAUUUUUACUGUCAUUCUUAUUUACAUACUGUAUCAGAAGUCAUAAAAUUAGUCGUAAAACUUUUUUGAACUAAAAUGUGUCUCAGCCUGGAAUGUAGCUGCUCAGUUAUUCAUCAUUAAUUCAGUGCUUACUGGGCCUGAAUAUUAAGCUGCUGUUAUUCCAUUCUUCAGCUUUGCUGCACUGUUGAAGCAUCUUGUAGUUCAAUGAAAGCAACUGUGGAUAGUGAUCAUACCAUAAGCAAAUGCCUUAUCAGUGAUUCUCAUCCAUCAGUUUACAGCACAAGGAUUUAGACACGCUUCAUUGAUAACCAAGUGACACAAAGGAGGAGAUGGUUAAGAAUUUAGAAUCAAGAUUCUAAAUACACAACAGCAUUUUUAAAAUUUAUUUUACAUUUCUCAAGAUGUUUAAGCUCCUAGUGCACUGCACAAUGCAAAAACACAAUGUGAAAAUAUGGUAUUGGUUAAUCUUAGUAAUACAAGGAUUGAAGGCAGCUCCCAGAGAGAUUGAAGGAAGGGGAAAUGGAGGAAGAUUGAGUCUCUGUUUCCCCCAGAGGGCAGGACUAGAUCUAACUGAUAGAUUUUGGUUGAACAUUAAGACUCACUUCUUAACUUCAUCAGAGCACUUUGACAAUGGAACUAGUUAUCAGGGCAUGGGGUUGGACUCUCCGUUGCUAGAUAUUUUCAGGCAGAAGCUGGACAGCCAUCUGUUGGGAAUGCUCUCAAUUUCCUACACUGAGCAAGGGUUUGAACUAGAUGGACAACAGUUUAUUAUUCUAUUAAAAAUAUUGCCAUCAUAUGUCAGCCACAUUACCUCGUAAAUAUUUUUUUUAUUAAUUAUCAUCAUCAUUAUUGUUGUUGUUCUUGUUGUUGUUCUUGUUUACACACAGUCUACCAGAUGUUAUUGACUGGAUUUGGUACUUUAACUAUCAGACCCUUUCUAAGGGUCUAGGAUAACUAAAGAAAAAUUAAAGAUCAUCGUAGUAUUCGUGCUGUCCUGAGUGGUGUAGCCUUCUGUAGUUGAAGUGUAAUUUUAUUGAUGCCCAAGGUGUCAAGAUGGUGUUCAAGUUCUUUUUGUACUGCACCAAGGGCACCAACAAGUAUUGGCACCACUAUUGUUUUCUUGUUCCAAAACCACUCAAUUUCAAUCUGAAGGUCCUUGUAUUUAGUUAUUUUCUCCAAUUGUUUUUGGUAGACUCGUCUUUCCUCUGGGAUUGCAAUAUCAGUUAUCAGAACCCGAUUCUUCAGAUCAGGCGUAUUGUGUGCUAAAUGCUUAUCAGUUUGUAUUUGGAAAUCCCAAAGGAUUUUUGCCUCUUCAUUUCCUGUGAUCUUUUCAAUCGGAUGAUCCCACGAAUUCUUGCUUGCUGGCAAUUAGUAAUUCUUGCAAAAGUUCCAGUGGAUCAUUGCAGCAACUUUGUUGUGUCUUUCCUUAUAUCAGUCUGUGAAGGACCUUUAAUUACCUAUUAUAAUGUAGCUAUAGUAUGGGAAUAACUUAUUUCAAAUUUGUCUCUGUGCACAAAAAGCAACCUAAAUUCAUUCAUACCAAAUAACAAUGACAAUAUCUCCCCUAGGUAUUUGGCCCCUUCAGAAUAAACAGAGUUUGAGAUAAUGAACUAAAGUACAAGAAAUAUGCAGGCAUGAAGCAGAUGCUUUAUGCUUUUAUGUGUGGCUUUUCAGCUUUCAGGCAGUUGCAGGGUGCACAAAACAUCAAGCAGCAGCAAACAAAGCCAUGCUGCAGAGGGCCUCCUGCUGCUCAGAGACAUGAUCCAGGCAUUCUACCAUCCAAUUAUAUCGAAAGUUCACCCCAAUUUUGUGCCACUGGCUAUAGUGAAGCUAUAAAUGUCAGAAUAUAUUGAGAGGUAUGUGUGCCUCUGGUUGGUCUCCAUCAAGCUAGAUUGUCCUGAACAAAACCAAUGCAUGCUAAACGUACAUAGAAAGAAAUAUUGGAAGAUACAGACAAGCAAAUAGGUAAGGAACCUGCAAGCAUGGGUGCAUAAGGACUAGAGCAGGGCUGCAAAACUUCGGUCCUCCAGCUGUUGGUGGACUACAACUCCCAUCAUCCCCAGCCCCAGUGGUUAAUCAUCAGUGUCAUGGGAGUCAUUGGUCAAUAGGCAAUAGUCAGAGUCAAUAGAUAUAGGAGUGAUGUGCCAACAACACCUGGAGGGCCAAAGCUGUGCCACCCUGGAUUAGAGAGUUCCUCAGAAGGAGGACCUAAGAGAUGCAAAUUAAACCUCUGAACUUAUAAUGAUAUACUCUGGGAGAGGCCAUUAUUGUAUUAACAUCACAACUUUGCUGUAUGGAGCACAUGUAUCAGCAUAUGCCUCUUUCAAAUAACGUGUUGCAUGGAUGUAUCUCAUAGAUAACUAUACCUGCUCCCCAGAAGUAAAGUACAGCUUCAUUUUUACAUAACAUGGAACUGGAGGUGAAGGGACCUCCGGUUUCAAAAAAUGAACAUCCAAAUCCAGGCAACCACAGUUCCUCCAGAAAAUGGACCCAUGGUUUCCCUCCCUGGACAGUGAUUUGUACCUUCGGUUUGUAGUGAGCUCGGCCACCUGGACCUCUGGUUCUGGGAUGCCAGUAUUACAUCCGAACACUAGCACCACAGUCUGGUUGCUUCGCAACUGGAGUUGGGUGGGGAAGUUCCUCCCUCGCUCCAGCUGCUAUUGGCUGCCGGGGCUGUCCCUCAGGAAAGAAGGAAGCCCAGUCAGCCAGUGCUCCCUCCUCUCUGCAGUCAGCGGCUCUCCUGGAUGUCCGAAUUUGGACAGGAGUGCGGGGGGAGUGGGGAGGGGAAUUGCGAGUACAUUGGACCCACAGUUCUGUGUUAUGUAUGGUUGUGGCCUAUGUGUCACAGGGAACUACUCUGCCAAGACUCCAUAUUACAGAGUUGUGUUUAUUAUUCAUUAUUAACUGAAGUUUUGUGUAUCCAUUCCUGAAACAAUGUCGACAUGAUCACCCCUAAGCAUCCUCUCCGACCUGCUUCAAAAUUGGCCCCUUGGUAUAUGGAAGAACUACGGGGGCUGAAGCACCAAAGAAGAUGACUGGAGAAAGACAAGUGGAGGAAGACAAGUAGAGGAAGUCUUGACUCGAAUCCCAGAGAUUACAACAUAGAGCACAUUUGAAGAUCUAUGUUCUGGCAAUACGGGUGACAGCUAUUCUUUUCAGCCUGUAUUGUGUCUUGAAGUUCAUGUCCAGUGGAGUUGUUCAGGGUUGUGAGAAGGCUAGUAACUGCCCCUCCUCCCUUGAAUCAGAAUUUGAAACCAUCUAUUACCCGCUGUGAUGUGUUUAAUGAUUUUUCUGUGGAUAAAACCUCUCGUAUUCUGGCCAACUUAGAUUUAGACCCCACAAUUACUGUAGCGUCUGAAUUAGAGGUGUCCAGUGACUCUUCUUAUGAGGUCAGGCUGGAUCAGUUUCAGUUUGUGACUCAUGAGGAUGUAGACAAGCUGCUUGGAGCGAUGCAGCCUACCACCUGUUCUCUUGAACCUUGCCCAACAUGGCUAAUACUAUCUGGCAGGGAAGUUGUUUUAGAAGGCCUAGUAGAGUUCAUAAAUGCUUCUCUGAGAGACAGCAGGAUGCCUCAUUGCCUUAAGGAGGCAAUUAUUAGACCACUUCUGAAGAAGCCUGUCUUGGAUUCCUCAAGUUUUAGUAAUUAUAGGGCUGUCUCCAACCUUCUGUGGUUGGGUAAGGUAAUUGAGAGGGUGCUGGCCUCCCAACUCCAGGCAGUCUUGGAUGAGACUGAUUAUCUGGAUGAGUUUUAGAUUGGCUUUCUGGUGGGCUAUGGGAUGGAGUCUGCCUUGGUUGGUCUGAUGGAUGAUCUCCAAUUGGGGAUUGACAAAGGAAGUGUGAUUCUGUUGGUCCUUUUAGACUUCUCUGCGGCUUUGGAUACUAUUGACCAUAAUAUCCUUCUGGAGCAUCUGAAGGGGUUGGGGGUGGGAGGCACUGCUUUGCAGUGGUUGUACUCUUACCUCUCAGGCAGAUUCCAGAUGGUGUGCCUCGGGGACUGUUUUUCUUCAAAAACUGAACUUCAGUAUGGUGUCCUUCAGGGCUCCAUAUUGUCUCCGAUGUUGUUCAACAUCUACAUGAAAUUGCUGGGAGAGAUUAUCAGGAAAUUUGGUGCAGAGUGUUAUCAGUAUGCUGACGACACCCAAAUAUUUUUCUCCAUGUCAACAUCAUCAGGAGAAGGCAUAACCUCCCUAAAUGCCUGCCUGGAGGCAGUGAUUGAUGGGUUGGAUGAGAGAUAACAAGCUGAGAGUGAAUCCAGAUAAGAUGGAGGUACUUAUUGUGUGGGGUCGGAACUCUGGAGAUGAUUUUGAUCUGCCAGUUCUGGAUGGGGUCACACUUCCCCAGAAGGAACAGGUAUGCAGUCUGGGGGUUCUUCUGGACACAAACCUUUCCCCGGUGUCCCAAGUUGAGGCAAUGGCCAGAGGUACCUUUUAUCAGCUUCGGCUGAUACGCCAGCUGCGUCUGUUUCUUGAGAUAAAUGACAUCAGAACAGUAGUACAUCUGCUAGUCAGCUCCAGACUUGAUUACUGCAAUGCGCUCUAUGUAGUAUGCCUUUGUACGUAGUCCAGAAACUGCAGUUGGUCAAGAAUGCGGCAGCCAGGCUGGUCUCUGGGUCAUCUCAGAGGUAUCACUCCUACCUUAAAAGAUUUACACCAGUUGCUGAUAUGUUUCUGGGCAAAAUACAAGGUUUUGGUUAUAACCUAUAAAACCCUAACCAGUUUGUGCCCUGGGUAUUUAAGAGAAGGCCUUCUUCGCUAUCAACCACCCGUCCAUUGAAAUCAUCUGGAGAGGUUUGUCUGUAGUUGCCACCAGCUUGUCUGGUGGCUACUCAGGGACGGGCCUUCUCCAUUGCUGCCCUGAGGCUUUGGAACACACUUCCUGCUGAAAUAAGAGCCUCCCCAUCUCUUAGAACUUUCAAAAUGGCAGUUAAUUUGUUCACCCAGGCUUUUAAUUAGAUAUUGUUGUAAUUGUGUUUUUAGUAGUUUUAACAUUUAAUUUUAAUGAUUGUAAGGUUUUAAUCAUUUUAUCUGUUUUUAUUAUCUUCUUGUAAACUGCCCAGAGACUUCUGUUUUGGGCGGUAUACAAAUGUAUUAAAUAAAUAAAUAAAUAAAUA